This 305-nucleotide ribosomal RNA is filed under the name uncultured bacterium. Its description in RNAcentral is "bacterial SSU rRNA". It matches the Rfam family "Bacterial small subunit ribosomal RNA", at positions 333 to 655 of the family's 1533-position model. The record is from RNAcentral.
UUUAUCCUACGGGGGGCAGCAGUGGGGGAUAUUGCACAAUGGGGGAAACCCUGAUGCAGCGACGCCGCGUGGGUGAAGAAGCGCCUCGGCGCGUAAAGCCCUGUCAGCAGGGAAGAAAAUGACGGUACCUGAAGAAGAAGCCCCGGCUAACUACGUGCCAGCAGCCGCGGUAAUACGUAGGGGGCAAGCGUUAUCCGGAUUUACUGGGUGUAAAGGGGGCGCAGACGGCGAUGCAAGCCAGGAGUGAAAGCCCGGGGCCCAACCCCGGGACUGCUCUUGGCACUGCUGGGCUAGUGUGCAGGAGG